Molecule: long non-coding RNA, 578 nt
Organism: Alosa sapidissima (American shad)
Lineage: Eukaryota; Metazoa; Chordata; Actinopteri; Clupeiformes; Clupeidae
Exons: 4
Source: RefSeq, a predicted model, not a curated record
GUGUGUGUGUGUGACUGUAAUAGACUGGGGAUAGUGUGGUCAAAAAUAUCCAGGCAACACUCAGGUGUGAGGAACCACUGCAGGUUUAUUCACGAUACCGGGAGCAGGUCACUAGCAACAUCAUGUUCCAGUAACACUACUCAAAGUUCUCUAGGGCGAAGCCCCAUCUUAUGCAUGUUAAUUACAUUGGUAAUACAAAUCACAUUAGUACAAUGGUCUUUUCCAAAAAUCCUCAUACAUGCAGAAAUACAACAAUACAUAUACACUUCUUGGACAUAGCAUGUGAUCCGUGCGCCAUACGCAAGUUAUGUGGCUACUCCAAGUAAGUAGAUAAUUGGUCAAUACAAUACAUCCUUCAGCAUUCUCUUGCCAUAGUCUAGUUCCUGUCGAGAUAUUCCUAAUAUUACUGCCUCAGGCAGAAUACCCUUAACUCGUGACAAAGGGGGUCGCAUGACCUUUAUUAGAAAAUCAUGACAUGGAGAGAGCAAAUGACAGACAAAGCAAAGUUGAUGCACAGUAUUGAAUGUAUAGAAAGCAUAUACAGAAUAUAAAAAAAAUGUUAGCAAUCCAAAAUUUCU